RNAcentral lists this ribosomal RNA (652 nucleotides) under uncultured bacterium. Its description in RNAcentral is "bacterial SSU rRNA". It matches the Rfam family "Bacterial small subunit ribosomal RNA", at positions 32 to 688 of the family's 1533-position model. The record is from RNAcentral.
AAUUCGCCGUGUAUGCUUAACACAUGCAAGUCGAACGGUUUUCGGGUGGCAACACCCGGAAAUAGUGGCGAACGGGUGAGUAACACGUGGGUAAUCUCCCCCCGAGUGAGGAAUAAGCCUGCGAAAGCGGGUCUAAUACCGCAUAACACUCCGGGACACAAGUCUUCGGAGUCAAAGCCGCAAGGCGCUUGGGGAUGAGCCUGCGUCCUAUUAGCUUGUUGGUAGGGUAACGGCCUACCAAGGCCAUAAUGGGUAGCCGGCCUGAGAGGGUGUACGGCCACACUGGGACUGAGACACGGCCCAGACUCCUACGGGAGGCAGCAGUGAGGAAUUUUGCGCAAUGGGGGAAACCCUGACGCAGCGACGCCGCGUGGAGGAUGACGGCCUUCGGGUUGUAAACUCCUGUCAGAGGUGAAGAAGCCCCGCAAGGGGUUGACGGUAACCUCAGAGGAAGCCCCGGCUAACUACGUGCCAGCAGCCGCGGUAAUACGUAGGGGGCAAGCGUUGCUCGGAAUUACUGGGCGUAAAGGGUGUGUAGGCGGCUCGGUAUGUCAAAGAUGAAAGCCCGAAGCUCAACUUCGGAACGGUCUUUGAAACUGUCGAGCUUGAGGGUAGUUGAGGAGAGCGGAAUUCCCGGUGGAGCGGUGAAAUG